AAUCCAUAGGUUAAUGAGGCGAACCGGGGGAACUGAAACAUCUAAGUACCCCGAGGAAAAGAAAUCAACCGAGAUUCCCCCAGUAGCGGCGAGCGAACGGGGAGGAGCCCAGAGCCUGAAUCAGCAUGUGUGUUAGUGGAAGCGUCUGGAAAGGCGCGCGAUACAGGGUGACAGCCCCGUACACAAAAGCGCAUGUGCUGUGAGCUCGAUGAGUAGGGCGGGACACGUGGUAUCCUGUCUGAAUAUGGGGGGACCAUCCUCCAAGGCUAAAUACUCCUGACUGACCGAUAGUGAACCAGUACCGUGAGGGAAAGGCGAAAAGAACCCCGGCGAGGGGAGUGAAAAAGAACCUGAAACCGUGUACGUACAAGCAGUGGGAGCCCCACCACCAAAGC
RNAcentral lists this ribosomal RNA (395 nucleotides) under Salmonella enterica subsp. enterica serovar Infantis. RNAcentral's name for it is "partial 23S ribosomal RNA". It matches the Rfam family "Bacterial large subunit ribosomal RNA", at positions 161 to 589 of the family's 2925-position model. RNAcentral also lists the same sequence under 2 other names. The record is from RNAcentral. Lineage: Bacteria; Pseudomonadati; Pseudomonadota; Gammaproteobacteria; Enterobacterales; Enterobacteriaceae.